AUUGAACGCUGGCGGCAUGCCUUACACAUGCAAGUCGAACGGCAGCACGGGAGCAAUCCUGGUGGCGAGUGGCGAACGGGCGAGUAAAGUAUCGGAACGUGCCCAGUCGUGGGGGAUAACGUAGCGAAAGUUACGCUAAUACCGCAUACGAUCUAUGGAUGAAAGCGGGGGAUCGCAAGACCUCGCGCGAUUGGAGCGGCCGAUAUCAGAUUAGGUAGUUGGUGGGGUAAAGGCUCACCAAGCCGACGAUCUGUAGCUGGUCUGAGAGGACGACCAGCCACACUGGGACUGAGACCCGGCCCAGAAUCCUACGGGAGGCAGCAGUGGGGAAUUCUGGACAAUGGGCGAAAGCCUGAUCCAGCCAUGCCGCGUGCGGGAUGAAGGCCUUCGGGUUGUAAACUGCUUUUGUACGGAACGAAAAGGUUUGGGCUAAUAAGCUGAGCUCAUGACGGUACCGUAAGAAUAAGCACCGGCUAACUACGUGCCAGCAGCCGCCGUAA
This 500-nucleotide ribosomal RNA is filed under the name uncultured bacterium. RNAcentral's name for it is "partial 16S ribosomal RNA". It matches the Rfam family "Bacterial small subunit ribosomal RNA", at positions 30 to 523 of the family's 1533-position model. The record is from RNAcentral.